Molecule: ribosomal RNA, 497 nt
Filed under: uncultured bacterium
Lineage: Bacteria
Description: partial 16S ribosomal RNA
Rfam family: Bacterial small subunit ribosomal RNA
Source: RNAcentral
GACGAACGCUGGCGGCGUGCCUAAUACAUGCAAGUUGAGCGCUGAAGGUUGGUACUUGUACCAACUGGAUGAGCAGCGAACGGGUGAGUAACGCGUGGGGAAUCUGCCUUUGAGCGGGGGACAACAUUUGGAAACGAAUGCUAAUACCGCAUAAAAACUUUAAACACAAGUUUUAAGUUUGAAAGAUGCAAUUGCACCACUCAAAGAUGAUCCCGCGUUGUAUUAGCUAGUUGGUGAGGUAAAGGCUCACCAAGGCGAUGAUACAUAGCCGACCUGAGAGGGUGAUCGGCCACAUUGGGACUGAGACACGGCCCAAACUCCUACGGGAGGCAGCAGUAGGGAAUCUUCGGCAAUGGACGAAAGUCUGACCGAGCAACGCCGCGUGAGUGAAGAAGGUUGUCGGAUCGUAAAACUCUGUUGGUAGAGAAGAACGUUGGUGAGAGUGGAAAGCUCAUCAAGUGACGGUAACUACACAGAAAGGGACGGCUAACUACGUG